AACAGGAUUAGAUACCCUGGUAGUCCACGCCGUAAACGGUGGGAACUAGGUGUUGGCGACAUUCCACGUCGUCGGUGCCGCAGCUAACGCAUUAAGUUCCCCGCCUGGGGAGUACUGCCGCAAGGCUAAAACUCAAAGGAAUUGACAGGGGCCCGCACAAGCAGCGGAGCAUGUGGCUUAAUUCGACGCAACGCGAAGAACCUUACCAAGGCUUGACAUACACCGGAAAGCAUCAGAGAUGGUGCCCCCCUUGUGGUCGGUGUACAGGUGGUGCAUGGCUGUCGUCAGCUCGUGUCGUGAGAUGUUGGGUUAAGUCCCGCAACGAGCGCAACCCUUGUUCUGUGUUGCCAGCAUGCCCUUCGGGGUGAUGGGGACUCACAGGAGACCGCCGGGGUCAACUCGGAGGAAGGUGGGGACGACGUCAAGUCAUCAUGCCCCUUAUGUCUUGGGCUGCACACGUGCUACAAUGGCAGGUACAAUGAGCUGCGAUACCGUGAGGUGGAGCGAAUCUCAAAAAGCCUGUCUCAGUUCGGAUUGGGGUCUGCAACUCGACCCCAUGAAGUCGGAGUUGCUAGUAAUCGCAGAUCAGCAUUGCUGCGGUGAAUACGUUCCCGGGCCUUGUACACACCGCCCGUCACGUCACGAAAGUCGGUAACACCCGAAGCCGGUGGCCCAACCCCUUGUGGGAGGGAGCUGUCGAAGGUGGGACUGGCGAUUGGGACGAAGUCGUAACAAGGUAACC
Molecule: ribosomal RNA, 742 nt
Filed under: uncultured bacterium
Lineage: Bacteria
Description: bacterial SSU rRNA
Rfam family: Bacterial small subunit ribosomal RNA
Source: RNAcentral